Vitis riparia (riverbank grape) is the source of this 1882-nucleotide long non-coding RNA. RefSeq lists it as uncharacterized. The record is from RefSeq and is a predicted model, not a curated record. Lineage: Eukaryota; Viridiplantae; Streptophyta; Magnoliopsida; Vitales; Vitaceae. The transcript is spliced from 7 exons.
GCUGUUGCAUGGAAAGGCCCAUGAGCUGCAGAUGGAGGUCCAUUUUGCCAAGUUAAAACCCGGUGAACCGAAUCGAAGGUGAACCGGGUUGAGAGGAGGGUUAGAGGCUACUUUUGGAAUGUUAUAUAUAUUGACAUAUCCUGCUGCCUCUUACUCCAACCCUCAACAUUCGACUCCGCCUUUCAUCGGCCUGAUUUUGAGUGAUCAAAUAGGGCACCGCCUCCUCCCAGGGAACUAUUCAGGUAUUUUUUGCUGUGGUUUGUUGCCAGAGUAUUUUGAGAUUGAUGAAAGGAAUGAGUUGAUUUGAGGAGCUAUUUGGAGAUGGAGAUGACAAAUAAGAUUGAAAGAUUUUUUCAUUUUGAAAUUUUAAUGCAUCAGCUUGGUUAGCUAUCUAUUGAGCAAAUGUGUUAACUCAUUUGCAGGUUUUGGAUGGUGCACCGAUCCGCCACAUCAUGCAUAUAUAUAUAUAUAUAUAUAUAUAUAUAUAUACAGAAAUCAGUGAGAAUACAUCAGGCAAAUAGAUCGAGAGAAAAAGAGAAAGGGCAGCUCCUUAAGGCGGCGAAGGGGAGAGAUUGGAUCCUAGAUGAUUAUCCAUAACUCAACCCUAUUGAUUCACCAUGUCAUUUACAAUGUUGUGGGAAUCAACCUCCUAGAACAACAGAAUCUCAUGUGUUCACUUUGCCACUUUCAUCAACAAUGUGGGAAUCAACCAAGGACAACAAUAAAAUCUCAUGCCCACUUACCUUAGCGCCAUCCUUGCCCUUCUUACUUUCAUUGUUCCACUACUCAUCAACCUCACUGAUUUGAAGUUUUGGAAAGAGGCUGACUCUGUAUUUCAAGUCCACCCCAUAAACACCAAGGUGGUUGUUCUUAGCUUACUAGCAUUUCUCUUGGCAUUCGGAAUUGAGUUAACCUUCCAUACUUGUCAUCUCUCUCCUACUUGUGCUGCUCUCCUCCAUUCUACCAUGGUGUUUUCCGGUUCCUUCUCAUUGGCUUCAUUGGCAUCGCUCUUGUUUCCUAGUGCACUAUGGCCCCUUCUAUUUGUUCACUGGUGCAUUAUUAGCAAUGUGCAAAACCUAGUCCAGUAAUGGUAUCACCGGGUUCACCGUAGAAUCAUGUACAACCUUGAGACUGUAUUAACAGGAUUUGGGCUAUUCCACACUUGUGGCCUUGAUUCUAAUGGAGAAAGCAACUCAAUCAGGAAAAGGUGAAAGCCAAGUACAUUUUCUUUACGACCAAUAGAACCUGUUUGGUCAUUAAUUCUGGAGGGGGGAGCCAGUAAUGUGACAUGUCGCCAGCCCAAAAAGGCACCAACUCAGCUUGAGCAGCAUGAGGAACUGGGCUCCUAUCCAGUCUGUUCGGGCCAUCCUAUGCAAGGUGCCAACAGAGAGCAUGGCAUAGGUGACAUACAGAAGGGGUCCCCAUGCAUCUGAUGCAAGAAAGCCAGUGAGAGAGGGAAUUUGAAAACACCAUGGGAGUGCAGAGGAGAGCAGCAGAAGAAGAAUGGAAAGUGAAGUCAAUUCCCAAUGCCAAGACAAAUGCUAGUAAGCUAGCAACAGCCGCCUUGGUGGUUAUGGAGUGGGCUUGAAAUGCAGAGUUUGGCUUAUUCUGGAACACUCCAAAUCAAUGAGGUAGUAAAGCAGGUUAUGAAUAAAAGAUUAGAAGGGCGAGAAUGUGGUUAUGUGAAGUAGAAAUGUGACUGUGUUGUUGUUGGAGGUUGAUUCCAAAGAGUUGAAAGUAGCAUAAAGAAUAUGCAUGUUGUGUUAUGGAUAGAAGAUUUAAAUCAGUUGUAAUAAGAAGGGACAAAACCAAUGGACAGUGAGGCCACUGAAUUUCAUGGAGUGUUAAUGUCUACUCAUGACACCCUUAUUUGUGCUGCCAA